This 259-nucleotide unclassified non-coding RNA is filed under the name fungal sp. RNAcentral describes it as "partial internal transcribed spacer region". The stretch from base 1 to 46 matches the Rfam family "Eukaryotic small subunit ribosomal RNA", at positions 1786 to 1831 of the family's 1831-position model. Lineage: Eukaryota; Fungi. The record is from RNAcentral.
AAGUCGUAACAAGGUCUCCGUUGGUGAACCAGCGGAGGGAUCAUUACGAAAAGGAGUUCUCGGACUCUUAAACCCUUUGUGAACCUUACCUAUCGUCAGUUGCUUCUGCGGGAGGCCCCUGGGAGGGGCCCCGGGGCCCGGCCUGAGCCGGGCUCCCGCCGGAGGAGCGCAAACCAAACUCUUGCUGUACCUCAGUGGAACAUCCGAGUUAAAAAUAAAAAACAAGUUAAAACUUUCAACAACGGAUCUCUUGGUUCUG